Molecule: ribosomal RNA, 492 nt
Filed under: uncultured bacterium
Lineage: Bacteria
Description: partial 16S ribosomal RNA
Rfam family: Bacterial small subunit ribosomal RNA
Source: RNAcentral
AGUGAACGCUGGCGGUAGGCCUAACACAUGCAAGUCGAGCGGCAGCACAGUAAGAGCUUGCUCUUACGGGUGGCGAGUGGCGGACGGGUGAGGAAUACAUCGGAAUCUACUUUUUCGUGGGGGAUAACGUAGGGAAACUUACGCUAAUACCGCAUACGACCUACAGGUGAAAGCAGGGGAUCUUCGGACCUUGCGCGAGUGAAUGAGCCGAUGUCGGAUUAGCUAGUUGGCGGGGUAAAGGCCCACCAAGGCGACGAUCCGUAGCUGGUCUGAGAGGAUGAUCAGCCACACUGGAACUGAGACACGGUCCAGACUCCUACGGGAGGCAGCAGUGGGGAAUAUUGGACAAAGGGCGCAAGCCUGAUCCAGCCAUACCGCGUGGGUGAAGAAGGCCUUCGGGUUGUAAAGCCCUUUUGUUGGGAAAGAAAAGCAGCAGGUUAAUACCCCGCUGUUCUGACGUUACCCAAAGAAUAAGCACCGGCUAACUUCGUG